This 4542-nucleotide long non-coding RNA is filed under the name Homo sapiens (human). RNAcentral's name for it is "non-protein coding lnc-FGFR1OP2-6:1". The record is from RNAcentral. Lineage: Eukaryota; Metazoa; Chordata; Mammalia; Primates; Hominidae.
GGCAAAACUCCGUCUCAAAAAAAAAGUUUAAUACAUAAUUUAAUAAAUUUAAAUAGAUAAACAAGGUCUCACUCUUGUCUUCCAGGCUGCAGUGCAGUGACACAAUCACAGUUCAUUGCAGUGUUGACCUCCUGGGCUCAAGCUAUCCUCCCACCUCAGCCUCCCGAGUAGCUGGGAUGGCAGGCUUAUUCCACCAGCUAAUUUUUGUAUUUUUAGUAGAGAUGGGGUUUUGCAGUGUUGCCCAGGCUUAUCUCAAACUCCUGGGCUCAACCGAUCUGCCCAUUUCGACCUCCCAAAGUGCUGGGAUUACAUGCAUGAGCCACCACACCCGAUUUGACUCAAUAGUCAAAACUCUUUUUUGGAAACGGAGUUUCGCGCUUGUCGCCCGGGCUGGAGUGCGGUGGCGUGAUCUCGGCUCACUGCAACCUCCGUCUCCCGGGUCCAAGUGCUUCUUAUGCCUCAGCCUCCUGAGUAGCUGGGAUUACAGGCACCUGUCACCACGCCUGGCUAAUUUUUGUAUUUUUCGUAGAGACAGGGUUUUACCAUGUUUACCAGGCUAGUCUUGAAUUCCUGACCUUAGGUGCUCCGCCUGCCCCUGGCCUCCCUAAGUGCUGGGAUUACAGGCGUGAGCAACUGCGCCCAGCUGUCAAAACUCUUAAUUAGCCCGGUUUGGUAGUGCAUGCCUGAAGUUCCAGCUACUCAGUUGGGAGGAUCGCUUAAGCCUGGGAGGUACAGGCUGCGGUGAGCCAUGAUCAUGACACCACACACCAGCCUGGUGACAGACUUGUUGACAGACCCUGUCUCAAACAAAAUAAAAACAACAGGCAGUAAUAAAACCUUCUAGCCACCAAGCCUAGAGAGUUUUAUUAAUGAGAAUAGUGAGUUGUGAGUUUUGCUAAAUAUGCGGUUUCUUUGAAUUCCAGUUUUAUACAGAAAGUAUAAAGCUCUUGUCAAAAUUUUACAGUAACAGUACCAAAAUUAAAAAUAACUAAAUCUCUUUUUUUUUUUUUGGAUUAAGGUGAUUUGUUAUUUCUUUUUUUUUUAAUUAUACUUUAAGUUUUAGGGUACAUGUGCACAAUGUGCAGGUUAGUUACAUAUGUAUACAUGUGCCAUGCUGGUGUGCUGCACCCGUUAACUCGUCAUUUAGCAUUAGGUAUAUCUCCUAAUGCUAUCCCUCCCCCCUCCCCCCACCCCACAACAGUCCCCAGAGUGUGAUGUUCCCCUUCCUGUGUCCAUGUGUUCUCACUGUUGAAUUCCCAUCUAUGAGUGAGAACAUGCGGUGUUUGGUUUUUUGUCCUUGCCAUAGUUUGCUGAGAAUGAUGAUUUCCAAUUUCAUCCAUGUCCCUACAAAGGACAUGAACUCAUCAUUGUUUAUGGCUGCAUAGUAUUCCAUGGUGUAUAUGUGCCACAUUUUCUUAAUCCAGUCUAUCAUUGUUGGACAUUUGGGUUAGUUCCAAGUCUUUGCUAUUGUGAAUAGUGCCGCAAUAGACAUACGUGUGCAUGUGUCUUUAUAGCAGCAUGAUUUAUAGUCCUUUGGGUGUAUACCCAGUAGUGGGAUGGCUGGGUCAAAUGGUAUUUGUAGUUCUAGAUCCCUGAGGAAUCACCACACUGACUUCCACAAUGGUUAAACUAGUUUACAGUCCCACCAAUAGUGUAAAACUAUUCCUAUUUCUCAACAUCCUCUCCAGCACCUGUUGUUUCCUGACUUCUUAAUGAUUGCCAUUCUAACUGGUGUGAGAUGAUAUCCCAUUGUGGUUUUGAUUUGCAUUUCUCUGAUGGCCAGUGAUGAUGAGCAUUUUUUCAGUGUCUUUUGGCUGCAUAAAUGUCUUCUUUUGAGAAGUGUCUGUUCAUAUCCUUUGCCCACUUUUUGAUGGGGUUGUUUGGUUUUUUCUUGUAAAUUUGUUGGAGUUCACUGUAGAUUCUGGAUAUUAGCCCUUUGUCAGAUGAGUAGGUUGCGAAAAUUUUCUCCCAUUCUGUAGGUUGCCUGUUCACCCUGAUGGUAGUUUCUUUUGCUGUGCAGAAGCUCUUUAGUUUAAUUAGAUCCCAUUUGUCAAUUUUGGCUUUUAUUGCCAUUGCUUUUGGUGUUUCAGACAUGAAGUCCUUGCCCAUGCCUAUGUCCUGAAUGGUAAUGUCUAGGUUUUCUUCUAGGGUUUUUAUGGUUUUAGGUCUAACGUUUAAGUCUUUAAUCCAUCUUGAAUUAAUUUUUGUAUAAGCUGUAAAGAAGGGAUCCAGUUUCAGCUUUCUACAUAUGGCUAGCCAGUUUUCCCAGCACCGUUUAUUAAAUAGGGAAUCCUUUCCCCAUUGCUUGUUUUUCUCAGGUUUGUCAAAGAUCAGAUAGUUGUAGAUAUGUGGCGUUAUUUCUGAGGCCUCUGUUCUGUUCCAUUGAUUUAUAUCUCUGUUUUGGUACCAGUACCAUGCUGUUUUGGUUACUGUAGCCUUGUAGUAUAGUUUGAAGUCAGGUAGUGUGAUGCCUCCAGCUUUGUUCUUUUGGCUUAGGAUUGACUUGGAGAUGUGGGUUCCUUUUUGGUUCCAUAUGAACUUUAAAGUAGUUUUUUUCCAAUUCUGUGAAGAAAGGCAUUGGUAGCUUGAUGGGGAUGGCAUUGAAUCUAUAAAUUACCUUGGGCAGUAUGGCCAUUUUCACAAUAUUGAUUCUUCCUACCGAUGAGCAUGGAAUGUUCUUCCAUUUGUUUGUAUCCUCUUUUAUUUCCUUGAGCAGUGGUUUGUAGUUCUUCUUGAAGAGGUCCUUCACGUCCCUUGUAAGUUGGAUUCCUAAGUAUUUUAUUCUCUUUGAAGCAAUUGUGAAUGGGAGUUCACUCAUGAUUUGGCUCUCUGUUUGUCUGUUAUCGGUGUAUAAGAAUGCUUGUGAUUUUUGUACAUUGAUUUUGUAUCCUGAGACUUUGCUGAAGUUGCUUAUCAGCUUAAGGAGAUUUUGGGCUGAGACAAUGGGGUUUUCUAUACAUACAGUCAUGUCGUCUGCAAACAGGGACAAUUUGACUUCCUCUUUUCCUAAUUGAAUACCCUUUAUUUCCUUAUCCUGCCUAAUUGCCCUGGCCAGAACUUCCAACACUAUGUUGAAUAGGAGUGGUGAGAGAGGGCAUCCCUGUCUUGUGCCAGUUUUCAAAGGGAAUGCUUCCAGUUUUUGCCCAUUCAGUAAACAUGGAAAAAUAGCAAAUUAGAGACAGUGGGUAUUAACAAUUGCAUAUAUCACAAUAAAUGUAUGUUUAAUCUCAGGAAUGCAUGGCAGUUCUGUCUUUAGAAAAUGUAUUUUUUGUAUUUUUAUCAAUUUAGAGAUGCCCUUUUAAAAAAACAUAUUACAAAUUGGAAUAUUCAAAGGGCAGCUGUUUUAUUUUCUUCCUUGCUGAAACAUAAAAUAAUGACGUGUUUUAAAAUUUAUAGAAUCUUUGAUUUGAUCAAAUAUGGUAAUGUAAUUUGCCAUUCUAACAGAUCAAAAUCAGAAUCAGUAUGAUCAUCUAUCUUGAUUUGCGAGAAGCAUUUGAUAAUAUUCAAAAUCCAUUUAUGAAAAAACUCUUGGCAGAGGAGAAACAGCAAAGAAUUUUUAAAAUAUAAAGGGUAUGUACAAAACUGUAGUAACCAUCUUACUGAAAGAUCAAACUUGUUCCCUUUCAGCUUGGGAAUAAGACAGAGCUUCCUAUUAAGACCACCACAUCUACUCAUCUUUAAGCUGGUGAUUCUCACCAACACAUCUAAGCAUGAAAGAAAUAAAAAUUAUAAGAUAAAAAGGAAAGAAAACUCUCAGUACUUAAAGAUGAUAUAAUUACAUAGAAAAUCAAGAAGAUUCCAUGGAUAGGCUUCCCAAAAAACAAUAUGUAACAUACCAGCAACAAAUGGUAAGAAAAACACGUUGUUUUUUUUUUAAAGUACAUUUUCAGUGACAUUAAAUAAUAAGGAUUCAGGAAUACAACGAAUAUAACAAAAAUGUAAGAUAUCUAGGGAUGCGUAUAACAAAAAAAUUAUAAAGCUUCAUUUAAAACAUUUUUAAACAAAAUAAGUAGAAAGUAAUACCAUCUUUAUGGAACAGAGUCAGUAUUAUAAAUGUGUCAGUUUUCUUCAACUGGUCCAUAGACAACACAAUUUUAACUAAGAUUCCAAUUGGGAUUUCUGUGGAACUUGAUGAGUUAGGGCCAAAAGUAAUCAAGAUAUUCAUGAGGAAGGAUAACAGAAUGGCAAAACUUGCUUUAAUAAUUUGUGCAGGGAUAGACAAAUACUGUACACCAGUCUCUCAAUAGGGAGAUCAAAACCAAAUUCACACAGACAUGAAAAGUUGAUUUAUGACAGAUGAUGUUGCAGUCCCUGGGGAAAGAAUGGAAAUGGUGCUAGAAUAAUUGGUUUCUAUAUGUAUUUCUAUAUAUUUAUAUGCCAUUACAUUAAAGUCAAUGCCUAUGGAGUUUGGGAGGAGUGAUCAAAAUGUUCUGGAAUUAGAUGUGAUGUUUGCACAACUCUGUGAAUGUACUAAGAACCACUGAAUUGUAUAUUUUUAAAGCAUGGUAUGUGAAUAAUACCUCAAUAAAGCUGUUAUAAAAA